GCCGGGGUGGCGGAACUGGCAGACGCAGGGGACUUAAAAUCCCCCGAUCCUAACAGAUCGUACCGGUUCGAUUCCGGUCCUCGGCACCA
This 89-nucleotide transfer RNA is filed under the name Selenomonadaceae bacterium. Its description in RNAcentral is "tRNA-Leu". It matches the Rfam family "tRNA". From Rfam's summary of the family: Transfer RNA (tRNA) molecules are approximately 80 nucleotides in length. Their secondary structure includes four short double-helical elements and three loops (D, anti-codon, and T loops). Further hydrogen bonds mediate the characteristic L-shaped molecular structure. tRNAs have two regions of fundamental functional importance: the anti-codon, which is responsible for specific mRNA codon recognition, and the 3' end, to which the tRNAs corresponding amino acid is attached (by aminoacyl-tRNA synthetases). tRNAs cope with the degeneracy of the genetic code in two manners: having more than one tRNA (with a specific anti-codon) for a particular amino acid; and 'wobble' base-pairing, i.e. permitting non-standard base-pairing at the 3rd anti-codon position. The record is from RNAcentral. Lineage: Bacteria; Bacillati; Bacillota; Negativicutes; Selenomonadales; Selenomonadaceae. RNAcentral also lists the same sequence under 1 other name.